RNAcentral lists this ribosomal RNA (253 nucleotides) under uncultured bacterium. Its description in RNAcentral is "partial 16S ribosomal RNA". It matches the Rfam family "Bacterial small subunit ribosomal RNA", at positions 524 to 776 of the family's 1533-position model. The record is from RNAcentral.
UACGGAGGGAGCUAGCGUUGUUCGGAAUUACUGGGCGUAAAGCGCACGUAGGCGGCUUUGUAAGUUAGAGGUGAAAGCCCGGGGCUCAACUCCGGAACUGCCUUUGAUACUGGCUGUCUUGAGUUCGGGAGAGGUGAGUGGAAUGCCGAGUGUAGAGGUGAAAUUCGUAGAUAUUCGGAAGAACACCAGUGGCGAAGGCGGCUCACUGGACCGGUAUUGACGCUGAGGUACGAAAGCGUGGGGAGCAAACAGG